Molecule: long non-coding RNA, 890 nt
Organism: Gadus chalcogrammus (walleye pollock)
Lineage: Eukaryota; Metazoa; Chordata; Actinopteri; Gadiformes; Gadidae
Exons: 3
Source: RefSeq, a predicted model, not a curated record
CGGGAGGAGAAGCACGAGCUCCUCGUUCACGGCUUCAGCUGACGUCACCAACGAGCCAGUAGUAGCGCCGCCGCGUCUGCAGAGUGGAGAACACAUCAGAAAUCUUCGGACUACCGGACUACUUUGUACUACUUUCAUUCAACUUAUUUUGGACAAAUCCACGAUUGGAAGAUCCGUGGCUAUUCAAUCGAUCCGGUGCUAUUGCAAAAAAGUUUGCAAGGGGAAACACUGUGCUGAGUCUGGAUCGGAACCUUGUCAACACAAACAUCUCCUCCUUCAUUUCUGCAUUGUGCCUCAUGUUCGGGAGCUACUACAUUUUCAACAUCCAUUAUCCAUCUGAGCUGGCUUCAACUCUGGAGUUCCUUCAAAGGUGUUUCUUCUCGAUAAACCCAGAAAAAGGAACCAAAGUAGAGAGUAAGAACAACAAGCGUCGUCUCAACCUGAACCCUCGAGUCCUCACCCUGAUACAGGAUCUCUCCGAUCACGAGUGGCGUCAAGCCUAAAUAUGAACUCUAUGUGGACUCUGACUGUUUGUUUGAGAAGAGGUACUUUUAGUUUUCGCUUUGUUAAUCCUAAAUGUGUAUUAUGGUAAUUAAGGCACACUGUGUAACUUUUCCUGGUAGAGGGUCCGCCACAUGCUUUUUUCAAUAUGUUAUUGCUUUGUAGUUAUGUUCCAGGUUGUUGUUUUUUACGGUGUCUUACUGCUUUUUUUCUAGAUGGCUUGUUUAGGUUUGUUUCCUUACAGGUGGUUUUCCCCCGAUGUGUUCUAUGUCCCACGGGCACGGACGUGGUGACAUCCUAUACAGCAGGGUGCAUAUUGUAUGGGGACGAUUCCGAAACAUAUAAUAUAUGUAGCUAUCUUCUCAAGUUAAUGCACGCACACACACACA